This 1515-nucleotide ribosomal RNA is filed under the name Bacteroides helcogenes P 36-108. RNAcentral describes it as "16S ribosomal RNA". It matches the Rfam family "Bacterial small subunit ribosomal RNA". The record is from RNAcentral. Lineage: Bacteria; Pseudomonadati; Bacteroidota; Bacteroidia; Bacteroidales; Bacteroidaceae.
GUUUGAUCCUGGCUCAGGAUGAACGCUAGCUACAGGCUUAACACAUGCAAGUCGACGCGCAGCAUUGUCAUAGCAAUAUGACAGAUGGCGACCGGCGCACGGGUGAGUAACACGUAUCCGACCUGCCUUCCACUCGGGAAUAGCCUUUCGAAAGAAAGAUUAAUGCCCGAUGGCACUGAAAGCCGUCAUCCUUUUUCAGUUAAAGAAUUUCGGUGGAAGAUGGGGAUGCGUUCCAUUAGCUUGUUGGCGGGAUAACGGCCCACCAAGGCAUCGAUGGAUAGGGGUUCUGAGAGGAAGGUCCCCCACAUAGGAACUGAGACACGGUCCAAACUCCUACGGGAGGCAGCAGUGAGGAAUAUUGGUCAAUGGGCGAGAGCCUGGACCAGCCAAGUAGCGUGAAGGAUGACUGCCCUAUGGUUUUAAACUUCUUUUAUAAGGGAAUAAAACGGGCCACGUGUGGCCUUUUGCAUGUACCUUAUGAAUAAGGAUCGGCUAACUCCGUGCCAGCAGCCGCGGUAAUACGGAGGAUCCGAGCGUUAUCCGGAUUUAUUGGGUUUAAAGGGAGCGCAGACGGGGUCUUAAGUCAGUUGUGAAAGUUUGCGGCUCAACCGUAAAAUUGCAGUUGAUACUGGGGCUCUUGAGUGCAGUAUAGGCAGGCGGAAUUCGUGGUGUAGCGGUGAAAUGCUUAGAUAUCACGAAGAACUCCGAUUGCGAAGGCAGCCUGCUGGACUGUAACUGACGUUCAUGCUCGAAAGUGCGGGUAUCAAACAGGAUUAGAUACCCUGGUAGUCCGCACAGUAAACGAUGAAUACUCGCUGUUGGCGAUACACAGUCAGCGGCCAAGCGAAAGCGUUAAGUAUUCCACCUGGGGAGUACGCCGGCAACGGUGAAACUCAAAGGAAUUGACGGGGGCCCGCACAAGCGGAGGAACAUGUGGUUUAAUUCGAUGAUACGCGAGGAACCUUACCCGGGCUUGAAUUGCAGAGGAAUAUGUAGGAAACUAUAUAGCCGCAAGGUCUCUGUGAAGGUGCUGCAUGGUUGUCGUCAGCUCGUGCCGUGAGGUGUCGGCUUAAGUGCCAUAACGAGCGCAACCCUUAUCUAUAGUUACCAUCAGGCAAUGCUGGGGACUCUAUGGAGACUGCCGUCGUAAGAUGUGAGGAAGGUUGGGAUGACGUCAAAUCAGCACGGCCCUUACGUCCGGGGCUACACACGUGUUACAAUGGGGGGUACAGAAGGCAGCUACACAGCGAUGUGAUGCCAAUCCCAAAAACCUCUCUCAGUUCGGACUGGAGUCUGCAACCCGACUCCACGAAGCUGGAUUCGCUAGUAAUCGCGCAUCAGCCACGGCGCGGUGAAUACGUUCCCGGGCCUUGUACACACCGCCCGUCAAGCCAUGAAAGCCGGGGGUACCUGAAGUGCGUACCGCGAGGAGCGCCCUAGGGUAAAACUGGUGAUUGGGGCUAAGUCGUAACAAGGUAGCCGUACCGGAAGGUGCGGCUGGAACACCUCCUUUCU